Molecule: non-coding RNA, 7397 nt
Organism: Equus caballus (horse)
Lineage: Eukaryota; Metazoa; Chordata; Mammalia; Perissodactyla; Equidae
Source: RefSeq, a predicted model, not a curated record
AUCCCUGAAAUGAGUAAGACUCAGAGUUGUUAAAGUUCUCAAAGCGCUGGCAGCGGCAGCUCUUGGGGAAAAGGAAGCGAGUUGGAGGGAGCCCGCCGAGCAGAGGAUCAGCUGGGGUUACAAGCUCAAGGCAGGAAUUCUGAGGCUCUCAAGAGACCGGCUCUGCCCCCUUGGCUCAGCUGACCCUACAAUGCGGACUCUGCCUUUCCAGGUCAGGACUGGAGCUUUAAAAUAAAAUGGAUGAUUUGACGUUACUUGAUCUUCUGGAGUGCCCCGUUUGCUUUGAGAAGCUCGAUGUCACAGCCAAAGUCCUGCCUUGCCAGCACACCUUCUGCAAACCAUGUCUACAGAGGAUUUUCAAGGCCCACAAGGAGCUGCGGUGCCCCGAAUGCAGGACCCUGGUGUUUUGCAGCAUCGAGGCCCUGCCGGCCAACCUGCUGCUCGUGCGUCUUCUGGAUGGUGUGCGCUCGGGGCAGAGCGCGGGGAGAGCCGGCUCCUUCCGCAGGCCCGGCGUGCUGACCUCGCAGGACAGCAGGAAAAGCAGGACUAGCCCCAGAGGGCUGCAGUCCAGCCCUUUCCGCCUGGUGCCUAAUAUCAGGAUCCACAUGGAUGGGGUGCCUCGAGCAAAGGCCUUAUGUGACUACCGAGGGCAGAAUCCCGGCGACCUGAGGUUUAACAAGGGAGAUGUCAUCCUCCUCCGGAGACAGCUUGAUGAGAACUGGUACCAGGGAGAGGUCAACGGAGUCAGUGGGGUCUUCCCAGCCAGCUCCGUGGAAGUCAUCAAGCAGCUGCCCCAGCCGCCCCCACUCUGCCGGGCCCUCUACAACUUCGACCUACGAGACAAGGACAAGAGUGAGAGCCAGGACUGCCUGACCUUCCUCAAGGAUGAUAUCAUCACUGUGAUCAGCAGAGUGGAUGAGAACUGGGCAGAAGGAAAGUUAGGAGAUAAAGUAGGCAUCUUCCCAAUCUUGUUUGUAGAGCCAAACCUCACUGCAAGACACCUCUUAGAGAAGAACAAAGGCCGUCAGUCAUCCCGCACAAAAAACCUGUCCCUGGUGGCCUCACCCUCCAGAGGCAAAGCAGUCAACACGCCCACCCUCCGAAGGGGCCCUGGAUCCAGGCGGAAGGGCCCCGGGCAGUUCUCCAUCACGACGGCCUUGAACACUCUCAACAGGAUGGUCCAUUCUCCCUCGGGGCGGCAAAUGGUGGAGAUCAGCACCCCAGUGCUUAUCAGUUCCAGCAACCCCUCUGUGAUCACCCAGCACAUGGAGAAAGCAGAUGUUCCUCCCAGCUCUGUGGGGCAGGUCAGCACUUAUCACCCUGCACCUGCCUCCCCAGGACAUUCCACGGCCAUCGUCAGUCUGCCCGGCUCCCAGCAACACCUCUCAGCUAACAUGUUUGUAGCCCUGCACUCCUACUCAGCCCACGGACCUGAUGAGCUGGAUCUGCAGAAGGGAGAGGGCAUCAGGGUCCUGGGGAAGUACCAGGACGGCUGGCUCAGGGGCGUCUCCUUGGUCACUGGACGAGUCGGCAUCUUCCCCAACAACUAUGUCAUCCCCAUUUUCAGAAAGACAUCUAGCUUUCCAGAUUCCCGGAGCCCUGGUCUCUACACCACAUGGACGUUAUCCACCUCCUCUGUGUCAUCCCAAGGUAGCAUUUCAGAAGGUGACCCUCGGCAAGGCCGCCCCUUCAAGUCUGUCUUCGUGCCCACCGCCAUAGUCAACCCUGUACGGAGCACGGCCGGCCCGGGGGCUUCAGGACAGGGCUCUCUUCGGAAAGGGCGGGGCAGCAUGAGAAAGAGUAAGUGGUGGCAGAGAGAUGGAUCCCUGCAGAGACCCGUCCAGCCAGGGAACCCCACCCUUGUGGUGGGCUCCCUCAGGCGCAGCCCGACCAUGGUCGUACGGCCUCAGCAGUUCCAAUUCUACCAGCCACAGGGAGUCCCCUCCUCACCCUCGGCAGUGGUGGCAGAAAUGGGACCCAAGCCCACUCCCACUGGGGAGCCUGCCCUCACGUGCGUCAGCAGGGGCAGCGACACCAGGAUCCACUCGGCAGCCAGUUCCCUCAUCAUGGAAGGCAAGGAAAUGCCCAUCAAGAGUGAGCCUCUACCCAAACCACCUGCAUCUGCCCCACCGUCGAUCCUGGUGAAGCCAGAAAACUCAAGAAAUGGCACCGAAAAGCAAGUCAAAACCGUGAGAUUUCAGAAUCACAGCCCUCCUCCCACCAAACACUAUACCUCCCACUCCGCCUCCGGAAAGCCUGAGCAGCCAGCCACCCCUAAGGGGCCCCAGCCUGAAGCAGCCCCCUUGGGCCCAGAGAUGACCAUCCUAUUCGCCCACCGAAGCGGCUGCCAUUCUGGACAGCAGACAGACCUCCGGAGGAAGUCAGCUUUUGGCAAGACCAUGACCCCGGUGUCCACAGCCUCAGCCACACAGACCGUGUUUCCCAGCAAAUGAAUCUACGGGUGGCUUUUCCUAGACCCCAAAGAGGUGAAUUGCCUUUAAAUACAGUCUGCCUCCAAUGAGGGCGUCCUGCCAUUCUUUGGGGACUCAAGUAUGGGUCCUUGUUCUGUCCAUUUUACCUCCAGGAAAGGAAAGGUGGGAACAGGGAUUCCUGCCCUGGGUGGGAAGAUAAAUUGGGUGCCCUUCCAAGCUUAGUGAUAUGAUGCAGCAAGGCCACUACUCAGACCAAGGAGUGGGAGACCAUCCUGCCACCCUGUUGCCCAGGGUGGAGCGUGCGGACUCUCAUCCCCCAUGUUCUGCUUAGAAUUUCUGUGGUGUCCUACAAGGGGCUUCGGCCAGGAAUGUCACAAUGGUCAGAAUGUUAGCAUUGCCUCUUCGACCUCACCACGAUGUUUUCAACAAGCAUUAGAACAGCUCUGCCAUCUUCUGGGCCUAUACACUGGCCACUAUUAGCCGCCUUAUCUUUUUCCCUCCGUCGAGUCAUAAUCCUGACUACAAAGGGAGAAUUUCUGGGAAGGAUAUGAGAUGUAUACUUGGAACAUUCCAAGAACGCUCUAAAACCAAAGGGAGUCAGCUUCCUGAGUUUGCCCCAACAGGAAGGUCAGAGAGUAAGCUGACUACCCAGUGUCAAAAGAUUAUCAAAGUCUAAUCUGUUCUUGCACAUAUAAUCCUACACGAUAGAUAAGGAGAAAGCACGUAGCUGUGGACAGUACUAUGGACGAUUAAUUCAUCCUGACUCCGUAGUCUAACUUCCCUAGGGAAAAACAACAUGCUUAGAAACAAGGAUGUAAGGGGUUUGAGUUUAGGUAUAUAUUCUAUUUGCAUUGCAACAUUCUUUACUUUCUCUCAUUUCUUCUCAUUUGGCGCAGACUAGCUGUUUCAUGGGAUUGCAGGAUAAGGGAACCGUGUUGGUGAGAAGAUGGCAGUCCAAGCUUGGGGUGGGGCGCUUCCUAGAGGAAAGCUGCUCUAAAAGGGACUGGGCAAAGAAGAUGGGAGAGGAAAGGAGAAGGAGAAGAGGGAGGGUAAAGGAAAUAUGGAGGAGAAAGCGUAGGGUGAUGAGAGUAAGAGAAAGAGCAUUGGGAAAAAGUGUCAGAGAAGAAGAGGAGAGAGGCGGAGAGUGGCCUUGACAUUCCUGACGAGUGGGGAAAGAAGCAUGGAAUCUGCAAAACCAGGUGACCCCAUUAAGAUGGGGCUGAGGUGAGCGGGACCAGCCAGGCAGAGCCUUGUAAACAGAGAGCCAAGGAAACUGAGGCUUGAAGGGUAACCAUAGAGAGUGGCAGAGCGAGGAUUCAGACUCAAGCUGUCUAACUUCAAAGCCCUGCUUGGGACCAUGCCGUUUGAACCAAGAGACCAUCCUUGACUUCAGGAUGCUGACUUCAGACUGUGACCCUGCCUUGGUAAUCUUCCGAGGAGGAGCCAGCAACAACUGGGACACUGAAGAGAACAAAUGAUCUGUUUGAAUGGAAACUGCUCAAUGGAGAGCUGUGGACCAUAAGAUAUUCCUCGGACAUCAGGGAUGAUACAGGAAUACCAGUAGGCUGGCUUCCAAGACAGAGAGUAAUAGGAGAAAGAGCAAGUCUGUCUUUACCCAUAGAGUCAAUGGGUGGUAGGUCAGGAUGGAGAAAAGCAAAUGAGUCAUGUGCUGUUACAGGUUACACAAGACUCCCGUCCAUCCUCUAAUUCCAUUCUGUUGUCAAAGCCAAACUUUAUCUUGCCAAUUUCUCUCACUUUGGCACCUAACUAACAAAUGAAAAACUUGGACAUCAAACACCUUCCAGCUCUGUGACUGGCCUGUCUGUCCAGCUCAGAUUUAGAGCCAUGCAGGGGAUGGCAUAAUAUUCUUCUCCUGGGUGUUCUUCACAAUGUCCCUAGCCUUCACCCACUCCCUGACUCCCAACCAGGCAUCUUGCAUCCCUCCGCCACAUCCUCAUCCUUUUCCAUUCCAGUUCCAUCCUGUUUCUCCCCCCAACACCUUCUGAUCCAGCGGGUUUCUCUUAGAACAUACUGAUCAAGGAAAUAAGGACCUGGCACAUAAAGAAUCUCAGACAAGAAGAAUCCGUGGCGUUAUAAGAGAGACACCACAGACGGCAAUGCUUACAGAGAGGCUAUUUCAAGUCCAAAAAUAUAAAAAUUAGUUACAAUAUGCAUUCCUUUUUGUUCAGAAAUAAGUCCUCUUAAAGGACAAGUCAUUAGAAGAUAGUCUACCCCUGGUUUGAAAAAACUAAUUUAAAAGGCAAAUUUUACAUUAUCUGUGCUAAACAGAGAGAGACACAUUGCACAGAUAAAUGAAAUUCAGAAAUACCCUGAGACUCUUUGAGCCAUACAUUUUCAUCUUCUAGCUUAUCUUAAGACAUCAAUAAGAAUUUCAUUUUUAAAAGCACAUGCUGCACUGAUUAUCAAAGACAAUGAAAGAAUGCAUCGUUAUUUGGAUACGUUAGUUGUUUUAAAGUUCAGGAUUAUAAUUUUGCACUGAAGCAUCCUCAGUCUCUCAUCCAGUCCUGCUUAUAAGCAGGAGCAAGCAUCAGCUAAACUAUGAGCAGAGCAAGGAUUGUAUUUUGUGGUUACACAAAUGUUUUCUUCUAUGUGAAACUGUCACAUGAAGAUUCAAACUAGCACUCAUCUCUCAAUGGGAUGAAUAACUUGGACUUGUUAAUCACAGUCUUCUCUUAGUUAACCCAAGGGGAAGGUGAUAAUAAGCAACAAGAAGCCCCGAAGUAUUGGCUUUAUCUGCCAAGUGGUGAGUGGGAAGGCAAGAGGUAUGAUGAGACCACCAAAAGGAUAAUUCAGUGAUGACAUCUCCUUCUCACACAUGGUCAAUGAUGGUGCUGCCAAUUGUCGGUCACCCGUUGUCUCUGAACUGCUGUGACUAAAUGUUGGUUCCAUUUCUUCUAGGAUAAAUUCAGGUUUGCUUGGCUCCUCUUUAGCCUCAGCAGCAAUGAAUAUAGAGAUGCUGCCUUCAGAGUCUGGAAUCUACUUGUUACUACCAUGAGGCCUUACAGCCUACCCAUAAAUAGGUUUCCAUGACUUUAUUUUCCAGGGCAAAGUCAUAGAAUGUCAGAGUUAGAAGGAAUUUUACUUCUAUCAAUGAUGUAUGAAAAGGUUAAGUAUGGGCAAACUGCCCACACAAAAGCAAGUUGUAUAAACUGGGGGGAACAACAUAACUUUUAAUCCCCAGAAACCAUUAGAUCACAUUGGCUAAUUACAGCCUUGUCUUCAAGGCCCUCUCGCUCGAUUUUCUUCUUCUAUUGGCUUCCCCCUCCUCACAUUUAGAGCAACAGGAAACCACCACUCCUAAUUUUUCCACUUGCUGUUUUUUAAGUCUCUGGGAACUUUCCAUGGCUUAUAGUGGAGGAUUUCAUAGAGAUUUAGCUUUUCCUUUGAACCUGCUUAGCCAAUCAACCAAAUAUUUUCUUAAAACACAAAAUGAAGAAUCCAAUUUGUUCCCAGCCAGCCAAGAAGCUUAGAAAAAGCUCCCCAUCUCCUAAGUUUUCAUUUCUGGACUGUCAGUUCCAACAUAUAGAUUCCAAAUAUCAUGGGUCAAAAGUGGUAGAGGUGGUGGGGAGGCACAUAAGGAUGAAUUAGAAUGAUUAGAACGAGGUCAGCCCAGAAAUCUACCCUAGAAUAGUUUGCUGACCAUGAAGUCUGAGUUUCGUCUCCUGGAACUGUCGCUCUUCUUACUACAUGUGGGGUCAGGAGGAGGGGGUAUUGUUUAGGGAAAAAAAGAUGGAAGAGAAAAUGGAAGGGGAGAAAAAUUCACUCCUCCAUGGAAAUAUAAGCAGAAAACCUACAGACUCUUGUGUCUUUGCUUGUUUUUUUUUCAGUACAGUGUUUUUAAUAGACCAAAAGAGAAUCUGUAUGAGGUAAUAUGUAUGUGAAUAAUGUUUAUAAAAAGGGUAUAAUAUGUUAGUCAUUAUGGACUAUUGUAUAAAUAAACCUUAGAUAUAUAAAAUAUAUAAAUGUUUAAAAAUUAUUUUACAGGGCAGUGGACACUUAACGACUUUCAAACUUUUUACUUCUUUGUUCCAAAAAAUAGAGAGUUCCAGGGCUGGCAGCUUAUUUCCUUAGUCUAUUCCACUGUAAAGCCAGGGGAUUUUGGGGGGUUGUGUUUGUUUUCUGGUUUUAUAAUUUAUGAUCUGUGUGGAUUACUUUGAAAUGCCUGUUACAUGUGUGUUGGUGCUGUUUACCCACAUGGAGUCAUCAGAAAUCUGUUCCAUGCUUCGCGUGGAAUUUUCUAAUUCUAAACCAAAAGGAAUUUUCUAGUGAGAAGAAAAAUACACAGAAUAUGCCUUCACUGUUGGGUAACUCUCACAUUUGUACCACUGACAGCUUUCUGUAAGUCUGAGGAAAUGGGGAGUUUAAUAUCAGAGUUGUUGUGUCUCACUUAAAUAUUUGAUGUUAUAUAACUUUUCUCCUGGGAAGAAAGCACAUAUUUUUGUUAGCUCCUUUUUUCUUGGACUUGACAUAUUCUAGAGGAAACUAGAAGUCCUGGCCCUCAGCCACCUUGCUUCAGGACCACUCUCUACCAUCACUUUUCAAAGAACCAUCCACAUAUUAAUUCCCCAUUUUAUGUUCUGUGCUUCAGUGGUGGAAUCAAUGUUUUUAGAGCCGAGAGUUUUCCUUUUCUGGGGCUUGAGGCUCUAAUGAAGUGUUAAGUUUGCCCUUUUCCGUCCAGGCUGAUGAGAAGACGCAAAGGGAAAAAAGGGAUUCCUCGCUGGAGCGGUCCCCUCGCACCUCUUCCAGGAGCCGGGAGGAGAACUGUGCCAGUAACCCGGGCGUGAAACACCAUCUGCUCUCCAUGCUGGGAGGGUCAAUCAUAUGGAAGUGGAGAGAUUACCCAAGUCUCCUGUGCCAAAAACGCAUACUGUUCCCAGCUGUAAGCUUGUGAAGCCCGAUGUGCGUCUUAGCAUGAAACAAUAAAGCAGGUUUAUUUUCACUUAA